GAUGAUCAUUACUACGAUGACGCUAGCGGGAGGCCUAACACAUGCAAGCCGAGCGGUAGAGUAUCUUCGGAUACUUGAGAGCGGCGUACGGGUGCGGAACACGUGUGCAACCUGCCUUUAUCUGAGGGAUAGCCUUUCGAAAGGGAGAUUAAUACCUCAUAAUAUACUGAUUGGCAUCAAUUGGUAUUGAAAGCUCCGGCGGAUAGAGAUGGGCACGCGCAAGAUUAGAUAGUUGGUGAGGUAACGGCUCACCAAGUCAAUGAUCUUUAGGGGGCCUGAGAGGGUGAUCCCCCACACUGGUACUGAGACACGGACCAGACUCCUACGGGAGGCAGCAGUGAGGAAUAUUGGACAAUGGGUGCAAGCCUGAUCCAGCCAUCCCGCGUGAAGGACGACGGCCCUAUGGGUUGUAAACUUCUUUUGUACAGGGAUAAACCUACCCUCGUGAGGGUAGCUGAAGGUACUGUACGAAUAAGCACCGGCUAACUCCGUGCCAGCCGCCGCGGUAAUUCGUCGUGACUGGGAAGACACCUGGCGGGG
RNAcentral lists this ribosomal RNA (540 nucleotides) under Riemerella anatipestifer. RNAcentral describes it as "bacterial SSU rRNA". It matches the Rfam family "Bacterial small subunit ribosomal RNA", at positions 36 to 538 of the family's 1533-position model. Lineage: Bacteria; Pseudomonadati; Bacteroidota; Flavobacteriia; Flavobacteriales; Weeksellaceae. The record is from RNAcentral.